GACAGAGGGGGCAAGCGUUGCUCGGAAUCACUGGGCGUAAAGGGCGCGUAGGCGGGAUGGCAAGUCAGUCGUGAAAUCUCUCGGCUCAACCGAGAAACGUCGGCUGAUACUGCCGUUCUUGAGGGAUGCAGAGGAGACUGGAAUUCCCGGUGUAGCGGUGAAAUGUGUAGAGAUCGGGAGGAACACCAGUGGCGAAGGCGGCUCACUGGCUCGGUACUGACGCUGAGGUGCGAAAGCGUGGGGAGCAAACAGG
This 253-nucleotide ribosomal RNA is filed under the name uncultured bacterium. RNAcentral describes it as "partial 16S ribosomal RNA". It matches the Rfam family "Bacterial small subunit ribosomal RNA", at positions 524 to 776 of the family's 1533-position model. The record is from RNAcentral.